GACGAACGCUGGCGGCGUGCUUAACACAUGCAAGUCGAACGGAAAGGCCUGCAGCUUGCUGCGGGUACUCGAGUGGCGAACGGGUGAGUAACACGUGGGUGAUCUGCCUUGCACUUCGGGAUAAGCUUGGGAAACUGGGUCUAUACCGGAUAGGACAGCUGUUUAGUGUCAGUUGUGGAAAGUUUUUUCGGUGCAAGAUGAGCUCGCGGCCUAUCAGCUUGUUGGUGGGGUAAUGGCCUACCAAGGCGUCGACGGGUAGCCGGCCUGAGAGGGUGUACGGCCACAUUGGGACUGAGAUACGGCCCAGACUCCUACGGGAGGCAGCAGUGGGGAAUAUUGCACAAUGGGCGGAAGCCUGAUGCAGCGACGCCGCGUGGGGGAUGAAGGCCUUCGGGUUGUAAACUCCUUUCGACAGGGACGAAGCGUAAGUGACGGUACCUGUAUAAGAAGCACCGGCUAACUACGUGCCAGCAGCCGCGGUAAUACGUAGGGUGCGAGCGUUGUCCGGAAUUACUGGGCGUAAAGAGCUCGUAGGUGGUUUGUCGCGUCGUCUGUGAAAUUCCGGGGCUUAACUCCGGGCGUGCAGGCGAUACGGGCUGACUUGAGUGCUGUAGGGGAGACUGGAAUUCCUGGUGUAGCGGUGAAAUGCGCAGAUAUCAGGAGGAACACCGAUGGCGAAGGCAGGUCUCUGGGCAGUAACUGACGCUGAGGAGCGAAAGCAUGGGUAGCGAACAGGAUUAGAUACCCUGGUAGUCCAUGCCGUAAACGGUGGGCGCUAGGUGUAGGGGGCUUCCACGUCUUCUGUGCCGUAGCUAACGCAUUAAGCGCCCCGCCUGGGGAGUACGGCCGCAAGGCUA
This 857-nucleotide ribosomal RNA is filed under the name uncultured Actinomycetes bacterium. Its description in RNAcentral is "bacterial SSU rRNA". It matches the Rfam family "Bacterial small subunit ribosomal RNA", at positions 28 to 896 of the family's 1533-position model. Lineage: Bacteria; Bacillati; Actinomycetota; Actinomycetes. The record is from RNAcentral.